UACGUAGGGGGCAAGCGUUGUCCGGAUUUAUUGGGCGUAAAGAGCGUGUAGGCGGCCAUGCAGGUCAGCUGUGAAAACUCGAGGCUCAACCUCGAGACGUCGGUUGAAACCGCAUGGCUAGAGUCCGGAAGAGGAGAGUGGAAUUCCCGGUGUAGCGGUGAAAUGCGCAGAUAUCGGGAAGAACACCUAUGGCGAAGGCAGCUCUCUGGGACGGUACUGACGCUGAGACGCGAAAGCGUGGGGAGCAAACGGG
Molecule: ribosomal RNA, 253 nt
Filed under: uncultured bacterium
Lineage: Bacteria
Description: partial 16S ribosomal RNA
Rfam family: Bacterial small subunit ribosomal RNA
Source: RNAcentral